AAUCGGGAGCAGACCAACAGGGAUUGCCCCAGUAACGGCGAGUGAAGCGGCAACAGCUCAAAUUUGAAAUCUGGCCUUCGGGUCCGAGUUGUAAUUUGCAGAGGAUGCUUCGGGCGAGGUGCCUUCCGAGUUCCCUGGAACGGGACGCCAUAGAGGGUGAGAGCCCCGUCUGGUCGGACACCGAGCCCGUGUGAAGCUCCUUCGAAGAGUCGAGUAGUUUGGGAAUGCUGCUCAAAAUGGGAGGUAUAUGUCUUCUAAAGCUAAAUAUUGGCCAGAGACCGAUAGCGCACAAGUAGAGUGAUCGAAAGAUGAAAAGCACUUUGAAAAGAGGGUUAAAAAGUACGUGAAAUUGUUGAAAGGGAAGCGCCCAUGACCAGACUUGGGCCCGGUGAAUCAUCCGGCGUUCUCGCCGGUGCACUUUGCCGGGCACAGGCCAGCAUCAGUCUGGCGCGGGGGAUAAAGGCUUCGGGAAUGUGGCUCCCUCGGGAGUGUUAUAGCCCGUUGCGCAAUACCCUGCGCCGGACUGAGGUACGCGCAUCGCAAGGAUGCUGGCGUAAUGGUCAUCAGCGACCCGUCUUGAAACACGGACCAAGGAGUCGUCUUCGUAUGCGAGUGUUCGGGUGUCAAACCCCUACGCGGAAUGAAAGUGAACGCAGGUGAGAGCUUCGGCGCAUCAUCGACCGAUCCUGAUGUUCUCGGAUGGAUUUGAGUAAGAGCAUACGGGGCCGGACCCGAAAGAAGGUGAACUAUGCCUGUAUAGGGUGAAGCCAGAGGAAACUCUGGUGGAAGCUCGCAGCGGUUCUGACGUGCGAAUCGAUCGUCAAAUAUGGGCAUGGGGGCGAAAGACUAAUCGAACCUUCUAGUAGCUGGGUUCCGCCGAG
RNAcentral lists this ribosomal RNA (881 nucleotides) under Cordyceps cicadae. RNAcentral describes it as "partial large subunit ribosomal RNA". It matches the Rfam family "Eukaryotic large subunit ribosomal RNA", at positions 48 to 965 of the family's 3401-position model. Lineage: Eukaryota; Fungi; Ascomycota; Sordariomycetes; Hypocreales; Cordycipitaceae. The record is from RNAcentral.